This is a non-coding RNA of Linepithema humile (Argentine ant), 2924 nucleotides long. NCBI's taxonomy places the organism in Eukaryota, Metazoa, Arthropoda, Insecta, Hymenoptera, Formicidae. The record is from RefSeq and is a predicted model, not a curated record.
UACCAGCUUAUAUUAUCGAACAUGGAUAGUAACGCACAGAAAAAUUAUUUAAUUUGUAUAAUGCAUAAAAGAAAUUUAGAUGAUUCCUUGCUUCUGACAUCAUAAACCAAUAUGACUGCAAUCAGUUAAAAAGAGUCUUAAUGAUAUUUGUAUCAACUAACAACAAAUGUUUUGCAAGUAAAGACAGUAUAGUAUAGUAUUUCUUUUUUUUUAGUUUAGUAUUUUUUUCCACAUAAUAUUUUUAUUUAUGUUUUUGUAGCUGAAGAAAGUGAUGAUGAUAAUGUUAUGAAUUACGAAGAAUGUAUAUUAUGGCUAAAAAAUAAUUCUAGACAAUGGCAGACAGUGACUGAGUACUGGUCUUUGACUUCGAAAAAACGAUUGAAAGUUCUUCAAACUAAUAAUAAUCAGUCUUGUCACGAAUACAUGAUUCAGUUUCCAGCCCUUUCUGAUCCUUUAGGCUACAUACUAAUAAUUAUUCCGCUACCGCCGAUACUUCGCUUACGUUCACGCUGCUUUAUAUUUAUUCCACGCCGCUUCAAGAACUGGAGAAAGAUUUCGAAACAUUAUAUCCAGAUCGUAAUUUAAAAUUAUAUGUUGCUUGGCAAAAAAUAUCAAACUUUGUAAUCAAUAAGGUGACAUCUAAAUUAAAGAAUCGUUUUGAUGAUGUCUUUACACGAGAUGGUGAGAAAAUUGUUAAACUUUAUUCUUGAUUCCUUAUUUGUUCCCUGUGAAUACGAUAAGAAACGGCAAAGCAUGUAAUUGGAGACCCUCUAGAAAAGAAUCUGAAGAAGGAUUUCUUCUGCACGUAAACACAAUCGCAGAUCUUGAAACAAGAUUGCAGGAACGAACAGCAAAAUUACAAGCAUUUGGUCAGCCCUUACAACCUAUUGUAGUGAUAAUAGGUCCUUCUUUCGACGAAAUCAAGCAAUGUUUUGUUGUCAUCAAUACAUUCAGAUAUGAAGUGGAAACACCAUUAAAAGCCGUGGACUUAGUCUUCAAAUCAUGUAACGCUUUAAACAUUCGAUAUCCCUUAGAAGUAGGGCAGCUAUUUAUGUUUUUGCAAAGAGCUAUAUAUGAAUUUGAAACUUUGUGGGAUAAACAUAAAAAUUCGCAGCUUAGUUCUGCUGUUUUGACAACAAUUCAAGAAUAUAAAUCAUUAGAAUCUUAAUCACUCUAUUACAAAAAAUACACACUUGCAUCAUGCCCACUUGUUUUAUUUGCAAACAAACUGUACAUUCUGUAAACAGUUUAUUAACGCAUUUUAACGUUAAACAUUAUGUUAAUUCAUGUACUGUAUUUAAAUGCGGCGAAAAUGGGUGCAUUAGAGAAUGGUCCUCAUGGAAUUCAUUAUGAAGACAUUUGCUUGGGUCAAAUCAUAAUUUUCCUUUGUGGCCUGUUGCUACACAGAAUGCUUAUAUGCAAUCUGUGCAAUCUACUAACAUAGAAGUGAUCAGUAAAUCUAUAAUUUGCCAUAAAAAUACAAAUAUUGAAACAGUCUCACCAGAAGUUACUAAUGAUAAGGGUUUAUCGAUAACUCCUACUGAAUUUAAAUCUCUCAUAAGAAAUUGUUGUGAUGCUUUUGUUGCAAAAUUAUACAAUAGAUCUUCCAUUCCACGGAAUCACAUUCAAGCUAUUAUCGAGGAUAACAGAUUAUUUUUAACAAGUCAUAUUUCUCUUUUAAAAGAAAAGAUUCUUUCACAGUUGAAUGCACUUAAUUCUGAUAAUCAAAUAAUACAAGAUAUCACAUCAAUGUUUGAUACAAUAGAAAUCUUUUCAUCAUCUUAGAAACGAAUAUCAACGUAUGGAAUAUUUGAUAUCUUGCGGUAAUUAUAUAGUUCCUGUAGAAUAUUAUAUAGGUAAAAAAAGUUCGUAAAAAUACUGGAACAUGUAUUGUGGAACAUGUGAAAGAUAUUUGCGGUUAUUUCAUACCUUUAAGACAAAUGUUACAAAAAUUUUUUGAAUUGCCCGACGUUUUUACCGCCACAAUGUAUUAUAUUAAUUCGCUGAAAGAUUCAGAUACCAUUACGAAUUUUGUUCAAUCUAAACUUUGGCGUGAGAAAAAAAAAGUUUCGAAGAUGAUGCUAUUGUUUUCCCAUUGUUUGUGUAUUAUGAUGAUUGGGAAGUGAACAAUCCAUUAGGAUCUCACAGUACUUCUCUUGGAGGAGUAUAUUAUUAAAUACCAUGUUUGCCGCCUGAAUGUGUAUCUCGAUUGGAAAAUAUCUUUUUAGCUCUCUUGUUUAACACAGAAGACCGUAAAGAAUUUGGAAAUAAACAAACAUUUGCACCUUUAAUUGAGGAAUUGAAUUUUUUAGAACAGGUCGGAAUAACAAUUACUGUUAAUGGGAAUCUUCAUAAAAUUUAUUUUGUGCUAGGUUUACUAUUGGGCGAUAACUUAGGCCUUCACACCAUGUGUGGAUUUGUUGAAAGUUUUCGAGCAAACUAUACAUGUAGAUUUUGCAAAAUUCAUCGUACUAUGUCUCAGACUACUUGCCUUGAAGAUGAAUCUAUUUUUAGAACACAUGCGUCAUAUAAUAUAGACUUAGAUUUAGCAAACAGUUCACUUAGUGGAAUCAAAGAGGAGUAUGUCUUUAAUGCAAUCACUUCAUUUCAUGUUAUAGACAAUGCUUAUGUUGAUAUCAUGCAUGAUGUUCUAGAAGGUAUUGCUCAUUACGAUAUGAUUCCAAUAACAAAUCAUUUUAUUCAGAUUGGUGAUUUUACUUUGUCAGGUCUCAAUUAUAGCCUACAAAUGUUCGAUUAUGGUCCAAAUGUACAAAACAAACCAUCUUGUAUUGCAAAUGAUUUUGCAACAAAAAGCAAGUUUAAAAUGACAGCCUCAGAAAUGUUAAAUUUUGUCAACUUUUUGGAGUAAUUAUUGGACAUAAUGUAAAUCAUAUAAUGAUCCAUUUUGGAAAUUGUACUUAUUG